This is a non-coding RNA of Lonchura striata (white-rumped munia), 214 nucleotides long. NCBI's taxonomy places the organism in Eukaryota, Metazoa, Chordata, Aves, Passeriformes, Estrildidae. The record is from RefSeq and is a predicted model, not a curated record.
CAGACAGAGGUCCAGGACCUUGGGAAUGAGGAUGACGAUGGUCUGGAGAUUACUCCCUUCGAUGCCGAGGAGGAUGUCUCCGAGGGCGAGCCGGAGACCGCCCCGGAGGAGUGGGCAGGAACACGGGUGCUCAGCUGGCUGUCACAGGGCUUCGAGAGGAUUCUGCCGCAGCCGGAGGGGAUGAAAAAGCCGGAGACAGAGCCGAAGGAGAGGA